RNAcentral lists this ribosomal RNA (627 nucleotides) under Trichoderma asperellum. Its description in RNAcentral is "eukaryotic LSU rRNA". The stretch from base 238 to 391 matches the Rfam family "5.8S ribosomal RNA". The record is from RNAcentral. Lineage: Eukaryota; Fungi; Ascomycota; Sordariomycetes; Hypocreales; Hypocreaceae.
GGAAGUAAAAGUCGUAACAAGGUCUCCGUUGGUGAACCAGCGGAGGGAUCAUUACCGAGUUUACAACUCCCAAACCCAAUGUGAACGUUACCAAACUGUUGCCUCGGCGGGGUCACGCCCCGGGUGCGUCGCAGCCCCGGAACCAGGCGCCCGCCGGAGGAACCAACCAAACUCUUUCUGUAGUCCCCUCGCGGACGUAUUUCUUACAGCUCUGAGCAAAAAUUCAAAAUGAAUCAAAACUUUCAACAACGGAUCUCUUGGUUCUGGCAUCGAUGAAGAACGCAGCGAAAUGCGAUAAGUAAUGUGAAUUGCAGAAUUCAGUGAAUCAUCGAAUCUUUGAACGCACAUUGCGCCCGCCAGUAUUCUGGCGGGCAUGCCUGUCCGAGCGUCAUUUCAACCCUCGAACCCCUCCGGGGGAUCGGCGUUGGGGAUCGGGACCCCUCACACGGGUGCCGGCCCCGAAAUACAGUGGCGGUCUCGCCGCAGCCUCUCCUGCGCAGUAGUUUGCACAACUCGCACCGGGAGCGCGGCGCGUCCACGUCCGUAAAACACCCAACUUUCUGAAAUGUUGACCUCGGAUCAGGUAGGAAUACCCGCUGAACUUAAGCAUAUCAAUAAGCGGAGGAA